Molecule: transfer RNA, 70 nt
Filed under: Camelus bactrianus (Bactrian camel)
Lineage: Eukaryota; Metazoa; Chordata; Mammalia; Artiodactyla; Camelidae
Also listed under: 1 other name
Rfam family: tRNA
About the family: Transfer RNA (tRNA) molecules are approximately 80 nucleotides in length.
Source: Rfam by way of RNAcentral
GGGUAUAACUCAGUGGUAGAGUGCAUGCCUAGCAUGCAUGAGGUCAUGGGUUUAAUUCCCAGUACCGCCA